Solanum tuberosum (potato) is the source of this 872-nucleotide long non-coding RNA. RefSeq lists it as uncharacterized. The record is from RefSeq and is a predicted model, not a curated record. NCBI's taxonomy places the organism in Eukaryota, Viridiplantae, Streptophyta, Magnoliopsida, Solanales, Solanaceae. The transcript is spliced from 3 exons.
ACAAGCGAGGAAUUGGUGGAAUUGAAGUUACUUGACGGUAUUGUCACUAUUGUUAGUUAGAAAAUGUUGAAACAUCGACUUAGAUUUCAAGCACCAAGUUCUGCAAUUUUAUUGUUCUCCAUUUCAAUUGAUCUUGGAGUUUCACUUCAUAUGUGGAAGUGGAAAUUCGAGAAGACACCAACACACCUCCAAAGAAUAAAGAAGAUAAACAAAUCAUGGAAGAUCUGCUAUAUGGACUAGUAGCUCAAGUAUUUUAUAUGGUAUUAUUGUUAGCAGGAUUCGAAAAAGAAAGUCGUACCUGCAUGUAACGAAUAUGACAUUUUUAUUUCAUGGAUUGGCUGUGAACACAACAAAUCAUGGAAGAUGUUGCAUUGGAGGUUAAAGAGAAAGUAAGUCAGUAAUGUUGUUGGUUCUCUCUUUUUAUACAUUGCUCUGGGUGAUCUUUGCUUCUUCUCAAUUUGUUCUGUUAUACGGGUUAGUAGCUCAAGUGUUAUAUAUAUAUAUAUAUAUAUAUAUGGUAUUAUUGUUAGCAGAGCUCGAAAAAGAAAAUUGUAUAUUCAUGUAACGAAUAUGGUUUAUUAUUUCAUGGAUUUGCUGUGACAUGCAACAAAUCACGGAAGAUCUUGCAUCAGAGGAACAGAGGGAAAGUAAGUCAAUAUUGUUGUUGGUUCUCUCUUUCUAUACAUUAUUUUGGGUGGUCUUUGCUUCUUCUCAAUUUUUUUUCUGCUAUACCCAUUAGUAGCUCAAGUUUAUAUAUAUUAAGGAAUUCACAGUUGGCAUGAAAAAAGUUCACGCCUCAAGGGGCUUGAUGUAGAUAGUCUACCCAUUUUCAUAUUUGAAGUAAUUAUACAUUAAGCACCUUAUCUUAACAG